Molecule: long non-coding RNA, 464 nt
Organism: Sphaeramia orbicularis (orbiculate cardinalfish)
Lineage: Eukaryota; Metazoa; Chordata; Actinopteri; Kurtiformes; Apogonidae
Exons: 2
Source: RefSeq, a predicted model, not a curated record
CUAGAUCUGCCCUAGCUCUGAUCUGGCGGUCCAAGUAUUAUAUUUCUUUGUCAGUUUUUUUUUUUUUUUUUUUUUUUUUUUUCAGCAGGUGAAUUUUGAAAAUCUCUUUUACUGGUAACUGGGAAUACAUAAGGAGGACAUUAAAUUAUACACGGUGUUGCACCUCUUUCUAAAAACAUGUUCAAACUCGCUGUAUGAGCGCAUUAAGAAGUCCAGGUCUAGUGGGGUGAAAAAUGCAGCCCUCCUCUUCCCUGUUGUUCCCAUGGUGACUCGUUGAAUCGGGGCUCCAUUGAUGCUGUCUUUUUGUAGCUGUGGUGCACAUGCUUCACUCCAGGUGAAACUACUCUGAGUUGAUCAAACUAACUCAAAUCGACUGCUCUGGAACUGAAAACUCAGAGUUUCCUUUCUCAGAGUAGAUCAACUCAGUUCAGGGUUACACUCAGAGUUUGUUGAACCUGCUUUGU